Oncorhynchus keta (chum salmon) is the source of this 4335-nucleotide long non-coding RNA. RefSeq lists it as uncharacterized. The record is from RefSeq and is a predicted model, not a curated record. Lineage: Eukaryota; Metazoa; Chordata; Actinopteri; Salmoniformes; Salmonidae. The transcript has 3 exons.
CUCCUGAUCCUCCCCAUCUGUGAAUAUAAAGGUCUUGAGGACACAGACACAGAGAAAGAGAGAUGGUGUUAAAGGAACUCAAUAUAAAGGUCUUGAGGACACAGACACAGAGAAAGAGAGAUGGUGUUAAAGGAACUCAAUAUAAAGGUCUUGAGGACACAGACACAGAGAAAGAGAGAUGGUGUUAAAGGAACUCAAUAUAAAGGUCUUGAGGACACAGACACAGAGAAAGAGAGAUGGUGUUAAAGGAACUCAAUAUAAAGGUCUUGAGGACACAGACACAGAGAAAGAGAGAUGGUGUUAAAGGAACUCAAUAUAAAGGUCUUGAGGACACAGACACAGAGAAAGAGAGAUGGUGUUAAAGGAACUCAAUAUAAAGGUCUUGAGGACACAGACACAGAGAAAGAGAGAUGGUGUUAAAGGAACUCAAUAUAAAGGUCUUGAGGACACAGACACAGAGAAAGAGAGAUGGUGUUAAAGGAACUCAAUAUAAAGGUCUUGAGGACACAGACACAGAGAAAGAGAGAUGGUGUUAAAGGAACUCAAUAUAAAGGUCUUGAGGACACAGACACAGAGAAAGAGAGAUGGUGUUAAAGGAACUCAAUAUAAAGGUCUUGAGGACACAGACACAGAGAAAGAGAGAUGGUGUUAAAGGAACUCAAUAUAAAGGUCUUGAGGACACAGACACAGAGAAAGAGAGAUGGUGUUAAAGGAACUCAAUAUAAAGGUCUUGAGGACACAAACAGAGAAAGAGAGAUGGUGUUAAAGGAACUCAAUAUAAAGGUCUUGAGGACACAGACACAGACACAGACAGACAGACACAGACGUAACGGAACUCAAACGUGCAACCUGAAUUUGGACAGAAACACCUGGAAAUGAUUUUUACUGCUAAAGACUGCCAAGGACUACCCAGCAACACAACAACCAGCAGGUAAAGACUGCUGAGGACUACCCAGCAACACAACAACCAGCAGGUAAAGACUGCCAAGGACUACCCAGCAACACAAAAACCAGCAGGUAAAGACUGCCAAGGACUACCCAGCAACACAACAACCAGCAGGUAAAGACUGCUAAGGACUACCCAGCAACACAACAACCAGCAGGUAAAGACUGCCAAGGACUACCCAGCAACACAAAAACCAGCAGGUAAAGACUGCUAAGGACCACCCAGCAACACAACAACCAGCAGGUAAAGACUGCUAAGGACCACCCAGCAACACAACAACCAGCAGGUAAAGACUGCUAAGGACUACCCAGCAACACACCAACCAGCAGGUAAAGACUGCCAAGGACUACCCAGCAACACAAAAACCAGCAGGUAAAGACUGCUAAGGACUACCCAGCAACACAACAACCAGCAGGUAGAGACUGCCAAGGACUACCCAGCAACACAACAACCACCAGGUAAAGACAGCCAAGGACCACCCAGCAACACAACAACCAGCAGGUACAGACUGCCAAGGACUACCCAGCAACACAACAACCAGCAGGUAAAGACUGCCAAGGACUACCCAGCAACCAGCAGGUAAAGACUGCCAAGGACUACCCAAAAACACACCAACCAGCAGGUAAAGACAGCCAAGGACUACCCAGCAACACAACAACCAGCAGGUAAAGACUGCUAAGGACUACCCAGCAACACAACAACCAGCAGGUAAAGACUGCUAAGGACUACCCAGCAACACAACAACCAGCAGGUAGAGACUGCCAAGGACUACCCAGCAACACAACAACCACCAGGUAAAGACAGCCAAGGACUACCCAGCAACACAACAACCAGCAGGUAGAGACUGCCAAGGACUACCCAGCAACCAGCAGGUACAGACUGCCAAGGACUACCCAAAAACACACCAACCAGCAGGUAAAGACUGCUAAGGACUACCCAGCAACACAACAACCAGCAGGUAAAGACUGCCAAGGACUACCCAGCAACACAAAAACCAGCAGGUAAAGACAGCCAAGGACUACCCAGCAACACAACAACCAGCAGGUAAAGACUGCUAAGGACUACCCAGCAACACAACAACCAGCAGGUAAAGACUGCCAAGGACUACCCAGCAACACAACAACCAGCAGGUAAAGAUGCUAAGGACUACCCAGCAACACAACAACCAGCAGGUAGAGACUGCCAAGGACUACCCAGCAACACAACAACCAGCAGGUAAAGACUGCCAAGGACUACCCAGCAACCAGCAGGUAAAGACUGCCUAGGACUCCCCAAAAACACACCAACCAGCAGGUAAAGACAGCUAAGGACUACCCAGCAACACAACAACCAGCAGGUAAAGACUGCUAAGGACUACCCAGCAACACAACAACCAGCAGGUAAAGACUGCUAAGGACUACCCAGCAACACAACAACCAGCAGGUAAAGACUGCUAAGGACUAACCAGCAACACAACAACCACCAGGUAAAGACUGCUAAGGACUACCCAUCAACACAACAACCAGCAGGUAAAGACUGCUAAGGACUACCCACCAACACAACAACCACCAGGUAAAGACUGCUAAGGACCACCCAGCAACACAAAAACCAGCAGGUAAAGACUGCCAAGGACUACCCAGCAACACAACAACCAACAGGUAAAGACUGCUAAGGACGACCCAGCAACACAACAACCAGCAGGUAAAGACUGCUAAGGACUACCCAGCAACACAACAACCAGCAGGUAAAGACUGCUAAGGACUACCCAGCAACACAACAACCAGCAGGUAAAGAAUGCUUAGGACCACCCAGCAACACAACAACCACCAGGUAAAGACAGCUAAGGACUACCCAGCAACACAACAACCAGCAGGUAAAGAAUGCUUAGGACCACCCAGCAACACAACAACCACCAGGUAAAGACUGCUAAGGACUACCCAGCAACACAACAACCAGCAGGUAAAGAAUGCUUAGGACCACCCAGCAACACAACAACCACCAGGUAAAGACUGCUAAGGACGACCCAGCAACACAACAACCAGCAGGUAAAGACUGCUAAGGACUACCCAGCAACACAACAACCAGCAGGUAAAGACUGCUAAGGACCACCCAGCAACACAACAACCAACAGGUAAAGACUGCUAAGGACGACCCAGCAACACAACAACCACCAGGUAAAGACUGCUAAGGACUACCCAGCAACACAACAACCAGCAGGUAAAGACUUCUUAGGACUACCCAGCAACACAACAACCACCAGGUAAAGACUGCUAAGGACCACCCAGCAACACAACAACCAACAGGUAAAGACUGCUAAGGACGACCCAGCAACACAACAACCAGCAGGUAAAGACUGCUAAGGACCACCCAGCAACACAACAACCAGCAGGUAAAGACUGCUAAGGACUACCCAGCAACACAACAACCAGCAGGUAAAGACUGCUAAGGACUACCCAGCAACACAACAACCAGCAGGUAAAGACUGCUAAGGACCACCCAGCAACACAACAACCAGCAGGUAAAGACUGCUAAGGAUUACCCAGCAACACAACAACCAGCAGAAAAAGCACAGCAAAAACCUAAAUACCGCCCAACCUACAACUGAUUGAGUAGAUUUCCAAUCUGUAGCUACUUCCCAGGCUGAGAAUUAAUUGAACGAUGUUACAAUAAUCUCUAGAGAUUUUACUAGAAGAUACGGUAUUUUACUAUAUGAAGGCUCAAAUGCUUAGUUAGGACAGACGUCCCGGCAGCAAAUUCAAUUUACACGGAGGUGUGAAGUGAGAGGUGUGAAUUCCCUUGAAUACAACAAUGGCAGCAAAGCACCACAGCCUCCUCAACCCAAAUUAACAGGCCUCACACUCCUAUGCAGAGGCCACACCCCUAUGCAGAGGCCACUCCCUAUGCAGAGGCCACACCCCUAUGCAGAGGCCACACCCCUAUGCAGAGGCCACAUCCCUAUGCAGAGGCCACAUCCCUAUGCAGAGGCCACACCCCUAUGCAGAGGCCACACCCCUAUGCAGAGGCCACACCCCUAUGCAGAGGCCACAUCCCCAUGCAGAGGCCACACCCCUAUGCAGAGGCCACAUCCCCAUGCAGAGGCCACACCCAUAUGCAGAGGCCACACCCCUAUGCAGAGGCCACAUCCCUACGCAGAGGCAAUCAAAGUACAGUUCACCCCAUAAUUUAAAAAUGAUCCUGUAUGUAAAAAGUACAAAUAGAAGCUCCACAAGGAAUAUCCAGAGACACUAUUUGCUUAACAACCUCAUCUUCCACACCGACCAGUCCACUGGCACAGCACAGGGCCAUAAGAGCACACUACCCCUCUGUCAGGAGAGAGGGUAUUAAUUCAGGGUGGAAACUCAGAAUACUGGACAUUGAGGACACAGAGACAGCCUGUUUCAACAUGUACA